ACACCGAAAUUUACGUGGGAAAACUCCAACUUGGAGAAAAACCCACGGGACCAACACGCGAAAAAAUAAUUCACUAAGAGAAAAGAUUACAAGGUGAUUACCGACUCUACGGACUCAACCUCUCUUAACCUCCUAUGAAUCUCGCGCAAUCCUCCGGGUUGUCCACGCCCUCAUGUUCGAAUCCACGAACGCCACGUUCCGAAUCCACGAAACGCCUCCACUCCGAAUCCACGAAGCUC
Molecule: long non-coding RNA, 239 nt
Filed under: Ananas comosus (pineapple)
Lineage: Eukaryota; Viridiplantae; Streptophyta; Magnoliopsida; Poales; Bromeliaceae
Description: long non-coding RNA (ACOM_LNC022272)
Source: RNAcentral